CAGCCGUAAACUAUGCGCGUUAGGUGUAUCGGUGACCACGAGUUACCGAGGUGCCGAAGGGAAACCGUGAAACGUGCCGCCUGGGAAGUACGGUCGCAAGGCUGAAACUUAAAGGAAUUGGCGGGGGAGCACCACAACAGGUGGAGCCUGCGGUUUAAUUGGACUCAACGCCGGGAAGCUCACCGGAUAGGACAGCAGAAUGAUUGCCGGGCUGAAAGACCCUGCAUGACUAGCUGAGAGGAGGUGCAUGGCGUCAGUGACU
Molecule: ribosomal RNA, 262 nt
Filed under: uncultured archaeon
Lineage: Archaea
Description: partial 16S ribosomal RNA
Rfam family: Archaeal small subunit ribosomal RNA
Source: RNAcentral